Molecule: ribosomal RNA, 493 nt
Filed under: uncultured bacterium
Lineage: Bacteria
Description: partial 16S ribosomal RNA
Rfam family: Bacterial small subunit ribosomal RNA
Source: RNAcentral
AUUGAACGCUGGCGGCAUGCUUUACACAUGCAAGUCGAACGGUAACAGGUUAAGCUGACGAGUGGCGAACGGGUGAGUAAUGUAUCGGAACGUGCCCGAUCGUGGGGGAUAACGCAGCGAAAGCUGCGCUAAUACCGCAUACGAUCUGAGGAUGAAAGCGGGGGACCGUAAGGCCUCGCGCGCUCGGAGCGGCCGAUGUCAGAUUAGGUAGUUGGUGGGGUAAAGGCUCACCAAGGCGACGAUCUGUAGCUGGUCUGAGAGGACGACCAGCCACACUGGGACUGAGACACGGCCCAGACUCCUACGGGGGGCAGCAGUGGGGAAUUUUGGACAAUGGGCGAAAGCCUGAUCCAGCAAUGCCGCGUGCAGGAAGAAGGCCUUCGGGUUGUAAACUGCUUUUGUACGGAGCGAAAAGGCUCUCUCUAAUACAGGGGGCUCAUGACGGUACCGUAAGAAUAAGCACCGGCUAACUACGUGCCAGCCGCCGCCGUAA